GACCCAUGAUCGGGGAACAGAACAAUGCUAAUGAAGAAACUAACACAAGUUUUUGUUCUUCUAAGUUUGUUUCAUAUUCUUCUAUGUCUUAUAUUCUUUCAGAUUCAUGUCUCAGAGGCUAGACUUCGUCACCUAGGUGAAAAUCGCUCACUGAUAUCAAAGCCACCGUCGGAAUCUACCGGAUGCGUAAAACCCUCCCCACCAUGUCGAGCUCCUCUGAGUAGUCAAGCCAAGCCUUGCGUAAUAGUUCCAAGGCCUCCUCCUCCUAAACAUGUGUGCUCUCCGCGGUGACCGUCCCACAAGUAGCAACGUUGUACUCACACUCGAUUCUACAAAGAUUUUCACGGAAGCCCAACAUCCAAAAUAUUUUGUUUGCACCAAUGUACCAAAGUUACCGUUUGAUUGUGACCGUUUCCUUAAUUUUCAAACAAAUCAUGUAUACAUGGCAAAAAAGUAUUUUUCGACCCUAA
Brassica oleracea var. oleracea is the source of this 470-nucleotide long non-coding RNA. RefSeq lists it as uncharacterized. The transcript has 2 exons. The record is from RefSeq and is a predicted model, not a curated record. Lineage: Eukaryota; Viridiplantae; Streptophyta; Magnoliopsida; Brassicales; Brassicaceae.